This 468-nucleotide ribosomal RNA is filed under the name uncultured bacterium. Its description in RNAcentral is "partial 16S ribosomal RNA". It matches the Rfam family "Bacterial small subunit ribosomal RNA", at positions 28 to 507 of the family's 1533-position model. The record is from RNAcentral.
GACGAACGCUGGCGGCGUGCUUAACACAUGCAAGUCGAACGGUGAAAGAAGAGCUUGCUCUUCUGGAUCAGUGGCGAACGGGUGAGUAACACGUGAGUAACCUGCCCCAGACUCUGGAAUAAGCGCUGGAAACGGCGUCUAAUACCGGAUACGAGACAGAGCUGCAUGGCUACUGUCUGGAAAGUUUUUCGGUCUGGGAUGGACUCGCGGCCUAUCAGCUUGUUGGUGAGGUAACGGCUCACCAAGGCAACGACGGGUAGCCGGCCUGAGAGGGCGACCGGCCACGCUGGGACGGACACACGCCCCGGCCCCCUCGGGGAGGCAGAGGGGGGGAUUUUGGCACAAGGGGGGAAGCCCGGAGGCACCGCCCCGGGGGGGGGGAGCGGGCCUUGUGUUUUAUAACCCCUUUCCAGAGGGAAAGAAGGGAAGGUCCCGUUCCCGCAAAAAAAAGCCCCGCCUAACUACGUC